UACAGAGGUCCCAAGCGUUGUUCGGAUUCACUGGGCGUAAAGGGUGCGUAGGUGGUGAGGUAAGUCGGAUGUGAAAUCUCCGAGCUCAACUCGGAAAUGGCAUUGGAAACUACCUUGCUCGAGGGUUGGAGGGGGGACUGGAAUACUUGGUGUAGCAGUGAAAUGCGUAGAUAUCAAGUGGAACACCAGUGGCGAAGGCGAGUCUCUGGACAUUUCCUGACGCUGAGGCACGAAAGCCAGGGGAGCAAACGGG
This 253-nucleotide ribosomal RNA is filed under the name uncultured bacterium. Its description in RNAcentral is "partial 16S ribosomal RNA". It matches the Rfam family "Bacterial small subunit ribosomal RNA", at positions 524 to 776 of the family's 1533-position model. The record is from RNAcentral.